This 216-nucleotide ribosomal RNA is filed under the name Gymnothorax vicinus (purplemouth moray). RNAcentral's name for it is "partial small subunit ribosomal RNA". Lineage: Eukaryota; Metazoa; Chordata; Actinopteri; Anguilliformes; Muraenidae. The record is from RNAcentral.
GUCGGUAAAACUCGUGCCAGCAACCGCGGUUAUACGAGAGGCCCAAAUUGAUGCAUUACGGCGUAAAGUGUGAUUAGAGACGAAAUAAAAUAGAGCCAAACACUCCUUAUGCUGUCAUACGCUAUGGGGGUCACGAAGCCCAACAACGAAAGUGGUUCUAUAAACCUUGAACUCACGACAGCUAAGAUACAAACUGGGAUUAGAUACCCCACUAUG